CAGUCGCCGCGGUAAUACGUAGGGGGCAAGCGUUAUCCGGAAUUACUGGGUGUAAAGGGAGCGUAGACGGUUAAACAAGUCUGAAGUGAAAUGCCGGGGCUCAACCCCGGAGCUGCUUUGGGAACCGUAGAACUGGAGUGUCGGAGGGGUAAGCGGAAUUCCCAGUGUAGCGGUGAAAUGCGUAGAUAUUGGGAGGAACACCGGCGGCGAAGGCGGCUUACUGGACGACAACUGACGUUGAGGCUCGAAGGCGUGGGUAGCAAACAGGAUUAGAUACCCCAGUAGUCCCUGUCUCUUAUAC
RNAcentral lists this ribosomal RNA (301 nucleotides) under uncultured bacterium. RNAcentral's name for it is "partial 16S ribosomal RNA". It matches the Rfam family "Bacterial small subunit ribosomal RNA", at positions 509 to 807 of the family's 1533-position model. The record is from RNAcentral.